UCAUCCUACGGGGCGCAGCAGUGGGGAAUAUUGGGCAAUGGGCGCAAGCCUGACCCAGCAACGCCGCGUGAAGGAAGAAGGCUUUCGGGUUGUAAACUUCUUUUGACAGGGAAGAGCAGAAGACGGUACCUGUCGAAUAAGCCACGGCUAACUACGUGCCAGCAGCCGCGGUAAUACGUAGGUGGCAAGCGUUGUCCGGAUUUACUGGGUGUAAAGGGAGCGUAGGCGGCCAUGCAAGUCAGAAGUGAAAACCCGGGGCUCAACCCUGGGAGUGC
Molecule: ribosomal RNA, 275 nt
Filed under: uncultured bacterium
Lineage: Bacteria
Description: partial 16S ribosomal RNA
Rfam family: Bacterial small subunit ribosomal RNA
Source: RNAcentral